UACGUAGGGUGCGAGCGUUGUCCGGAAUUAUUGGGCGUAAAGAGCUCGUAGGUGGUCUGUUACGUCUGCUGUGAAAUCCUAGGGCUUAACCCUGGGCCUGCAGUGGAUACGGGCAGACUAGAGGUAGGUAGGGGAGAAUGGAAUUCCCGGUGUAGCGGUGAAAUGCGCAGAUAUCGGGAGGAACACCGGUGGCGAAGGCGGUUCUCUGGGCCUUACCUGACACUGAGGAGCGAAAGCGUGGGGAGCGAACAGG
This 253-nucleotide ribosomal RNA is filed under the name uncultured bacterium. RNAcentral describes it as "partial 16S ribosomal RNA". It matches the Rfam family "Bacterial small subunit ribosomal RNA", at positions 524 to 776 of the family's 1533-position model. The record is from RNAcentral.